GAUGAACGCUGACAGAAUGCUUAACACAUGCAAGUCUUUGGCGAAUCUGUGCUUGCACAGGCUAGCCAAGGCGGACGGGUGAGUAACGCGUAAAGAACUUGCCCUGCAGACAGGGAUAACAGACGGAAACGACUGAUAACACCUGAUACAGUUGCCGGCACGCAUGUGCCUGGCAAUGAAAAGAGAUGCUGCAGGAGAGCUUUGCGUCCUAUUAGCUUGUUGGUGAGGUGACGGCUCACCAAGGCGAUGAUAGGUAGCCGGCCUGAGAGGGUGAACGGCCACAAGGGGACUGAGAGACGGCCGUGACUCCUACGGGAGGCAGCAGUGGGGAAUAUUGGACAAUGGGGGCAACCCUGAUCCAGCAAUUCUGUGUGCACGAAGAAGGUUUUCGGAUUGUAAAGUGCUUUCAGCAGGGAAGAAGAAAGUGACGGUACCUGCAGAAGAAGCGACGGCUAAAUACGUG
RNAcentral lists this ribosomal RNA (463 nucleotides) under uncultured bacterium. RNAcentral describes it as "partial 16S ribosomal RNA". It matches the Rfam family "Bacterial small subunit ribosomal RNA", at positions 28 to 507 of the family's 1533-position model. The record is from RNAcentral.